GAUAACAUGCUGCUGAAGAACCUUCAGAGAGUGCUGGAGAAUGAAGCCAGGACUCUAGGCUGCAGGCAGAUAUGCUGGAAGCCCUGCAGGAGCCCAUGGCUGGCCUAUGCGAACAGCUGCCUGUCCAUCCAGUGGGAAUAGCAGAAGCGGGUGGAGAAGAUGGAGAGGGAGGUGAUGGCCUUGCAGGAGAAAGUUAGGAAAAUUCUGCCUCAGACUGUGUUCUGAUUCUACCCGACAUUUCCAGAUACUUUGGCCCAACCCCACUGCUAUCCUGGAAGAGGACUCAAAGGACAAAGAUGGAGAGCUGUCAGUGGAGUAAAGUCUCCUUUGUCAGUAGGUCCUGGCUUUCUGGUCUUAUUUGUGUUUAAGAGAGACAUGAAUGGAUACACCAGCCAGGACCAGGUGGCAGCAGAACCAAUUAUCCCAUAGAUCUGGAAGACAGCUGACCCUGCACCUGGGCCACCCAGCCCUUCCUUCCUGAGCCACAUGAUCCUGAGGACAAUAGUGACAGCUAUAGUCAUUUGCUACCUAUACAUCUGGUAAAGGGUAAUAUAUGAAUAUGCAAGAACAACAUGGAAGCAGAAGAAUCUCCAGAUCAGUGAUGUCAUGUUGUGCCUAAUCCUCAGACAUCCAGUGGAGCUCAGUGUGGACAAAGGCUUUUCAACCAACCUGGGCUAGGGACUGUAGAUCAGCAGCUGGAGAGAAGACCUUUACACUGCUAAUGAUCAAGCCUGGACAGGGAUAGAGGCAUGAGGCAAGAGGGAGCAGGAAGGAGUAGACACAUAUCUCUUCAAAGUGAAUGGACUGUUAUUUGUAACCCCAAGGAUGAAUGUCAUAUGUGGAAACAUUUUGUAAACAGUCAGUAUAAAAACUGGUUCUUGGUGCCAGAGCCCUUACUGCCUGUUGUCAAGGGAGAAAGGAGGAAUAGAAAAUUCUACUCUCAACUAUUUGGCAUUUUCAGAGUGGGUAGCAUCAGUGCUUCUCUCCCCUUUCUUAUUUAUAGAACGUACUGCCCCAUACUUGUAAGGAAGACUCCCACUUCCUUUGGUGUGAUUUUAGCAUCUGUGGAUUAAUAGAGUGUGUAAAAACAACUGCUUAUGUAAAGUUACCCCAACCACCAGGAAUAGGAGAAUAUUCACAUAUUAGAACUGUCCUGGCAAAUGACUUGUGCACCUAUCAUGCUAUUUUAAUCUGGGGUGGGUAAAGUAAGUUCUUGUCUGGUGCAGCUAUUCAUUCAAGUAAAAACAUUUAGAACAAAACAAAUACUAUUGCUGUUGUGUCAGGAGCCACUCUGGACACCUUUAAGUCC
Molecule: long non-coding RNA, 1309 nt
Filed under: Marmota monax (woodchuck)
Lineage: Eukaryota; Metazoa; Chordata; Mammalia; Rodentia; Sciuridae
Source: RNAcentral